RNAcentral lists this ribosomal RNA (136 nucleotides) under uncultured bacterium. Its description in RNAcentral is "partial 16S ribosomal RNA". It matches the Rfam family "Bacterial small subunit ribosomal RNA", at positions 355 to 507 of the family's 1533-position model. The record is from RNAcentral.
UGGGGAAUAUUGGACAAUGGGCGCAAGCCUGAUCCAGCCAUGCCGCGUGAGUGAUGAAGGCCCUAGGGUUGUAAAGCUCUUUUUGUGCGGGAAGAUAAUGACGGUACCGCAAGAAUAAGCCCCGGCUAACUUCGUG